AAGAGGGCAGUACACUGACACCAGUAUGCUGGCAGCCAGCAGAAGUGUAAACGGGGCAACAAGACAACGUGAUAUCCCUACAGAUCGUCCAUUUCGUUUCGUGUUUCUCUCCUGGAUGGAUAGCAAAAUUAUUAAAAUGUUUUUCGAAGUGAUCAAAUUAUUUUUUUACAAGUUCUUUAUUUUUCAACUAUGUAGUUGAUAAUGUGUAUUGUUAUAAUUAUAGCGAAUACUGCAUAAGUUUACAUAAAACUAGUAGAUUGGCACAUGUUUCUGAUGAAUACUCUGAUUAAUGAAUGGCAAUUUGUCAAAACCAAUUUGUGACACCAUCCUUAAAGCGAUGUUUGUACACUUCCGGUGAAACUCUCAACGCGUGAGCAUGCGGGUUCGCACUAGUGCGAUGGAAAUUUAAGUAUUUCUUGCUCGAGGAAGAAAGUUUUUUAGCGUCACGGUGUGAAUCAGUGUUGCGACGCCGCGAAACUAUCAUCGGGAGUUAAUGUGAAAGCAAUUAAACUCGAAAAUAAGAAAUUAAUCUAACAAUAAUCAGGCGAGAUGGGCCAUACUUGGCCUCAGCCUGUCACGUUAGUGACACAGCAAAUAAAAAAAAAGAUGUUCGUACAAUAUGGAUACGUCUACCUUAGGUAUUCGUACUAAAAGACAACAUCCCGAACAUAGUUGAAGCAGUCUAUCGGGAAUUGAUGCAGACUGGAGUAACGUUUGCAAAAGAUGAUGUCCACUUGCUUGUGAUGGUACUGGCUCUGAAGUUAAUUUACGGGUAUAGUUCAAAGGACUUGGCCUUCAAGGGAAAAUUCGGCUGUGGUUUACACUUGCUAUAACAGAAUCCUUGGAAACGUAACAUACAGUGGAACUUAAUAUACAGUUUUAUUCAUCAGGCAAAAUUCAACACAAAAUCAAUAAACGAAUAUAAAAUUAAUUGAAAACUGAAAA
Long non-coding RNA from Malaya genurostris, 945 nucleotides. RefSeq lists it as uncharacterized. The record is from RefSeq and is a predicted model, not a curated record. Lineage: Eukaryota; Metazoa; Arthropoda; Insecta; Diptera; Culicidae. The transcript is spliced from 4 exons.